Gossypium arboreum is the source of this 941-nucleotide long non-coding RNA. RefSeq lists it as uncharacterized. Lineage: Eukaryota; Viridiplantae; Streptophyta; Magnoliopsida; Malvales; Malvaceae. The transcript has 3 exons. The record is from RefSeq and is a predicted model, not a curated record.
UAUAUGAACUUAGCUUCUUUACACGUGUACGGGUGAAACUUAAAAACAGAAAGCAUUAGGGAACCAGCAGAAGAAAAGUUCGAGGCCAACAGUGGCGAUGCUGAUCGUUCAUUUUCUCUCGGUGCAAUAAAAGAAAAAACCCUGACGAUUCAAACAAUUACUACAAAAUUUGCUGACAUGUCUCUAAGGAGGGAGGAAGCAUAAAGCAGUGCAUAUUUUCAUUCUCGAUACUGGGCAGGAUGAUCAUGUUAUAGUGCUUUUAGAUGAUUACCUAAAACAGUAUGCAGGGAAGGAAAGAAGUCCUCUCUCUUUUAAAUUGUAGGAGAUGUAAAGGGAUGAUGUUGGUCCAUUUGGAGAGGAAGUGCCUUUAGUUGUUUCCUUUGAUGUAAGGUUUCACUUUCUUUGCUUGAUUGGAUCUGGUCUCUCAAAACUGCUCAUAUACCAACUGCCAUAGGUGUUUGCGUCUCAAAAGAUUAGCUUCCAAGAAGACAUUACUAGCAAUGACAGUUGGACUAUAUUGCUUCUCUUCUGGUUCAGUCUUGAAUAUGAGGUGUAGUUACUAGUACACUGGAGUCAUUAGCUUUUAAUGCUUUAUAUCAUGAUGAAAAAUUUUAAUCAGGUUGCUUAAUACACUGUCAUGCGAUCAGGCACAUUGGCAUUGAAUGCUGGAUGAAGUGAGCGUCUUCUCUUCUAAGUUUUGUAUUAUUCAUUUAUUUGCCAACCUUGACUGAUUAAUUGCUGUAAGAGUCAACACUAAUAAUACUUCAGUUGAUUGCAUGUUACCAUGAUCAGUUGCAAAUUCAUGAAGUUGUUUUGCUUCUAUCAAAUAAUGUGUAAGUAGUUUCCUUUUGAUCUCUCUAUGUUAAAGCUAAAGUGAAUCACUGUAAAUGAUCUUUUUUUCAAUUAUAAUGACGCAGACCUGAGCUGAGAGAAUUUGAAUA